UGAACCUUUACACCCAGGUUUGGAGACAGAAAGGAGCACCGCCAAGUGAGGCAGAGCAGUCUCAGAAACAUAGGAAAAUAUGUGUCACAGGGCAGUCCUUGUUAGAGGAUAGUGAGAUGUGUUGAAUGGUGUCUUUGGGAUCCUCAAGCACAGAUUGUAAACUCUGCUUCAAGUUUUACAGUGUCUCAGAUUCAAAUCUUCUUUGCCUGCAAUGAUAAACAGAGACACAGCCUUCUCUGAAAACAAAUAUAUCUCAUAAGGAUGUCCUCCACUUCUCCAGUCCUCAUCCCGCACAGCCUAUAAGGUGCUGAGCAAUUGAUAGAUCCUAGAAAAGUCCUGAAGUGCUUCAAGCAAACAAAAGCUUCUAGCAGAGAUGGAAUAAUAGAGACCAGAUGUACCCUCCCAGCUGAAACAACAAAAAAAUACAGAACAAAAUAUAUAAAAGAAUGGUUUUCAAGGUACUAGACAUCACACAGUGAAGGACAGUGAUCCCAGAGAGAUGAGAAACAAACAAGGGUGGGAAGAGAGAUCAGCAACGUUAACUGGGUGUCAAGAAAACAUACCGAGAUUGAAGCCAUCCACUUCUGCAGGAACACCGAAAAGAAAGCUUACAAUCUGAAGGUGUCCGUUCCUACACUGGUCAGACCACUGUCCUUGGGGCAGCUGGGGUCUUUGGGACCCUCCACCGGGC
RNAcentral lists this long non-coding RNA (691 nucleotides) under Homo sapiens (human). RNAcentral's name for it is "HSALNT0386832". Lineage: Eukaryota; Metazoa; Chordata; Mammalia; Primates; Hominidae. The record is from RNAcentral.